GAAAGCACACGCCGCCACGAACGAUUCUGGAUAUCACCAGCUUGUCAGUCACUGGUAAGCCAAACAUUUAGAGAAGAAACAAACAAACAAGCCUCUCGUAUCUGUUGUGAAGGCUAAGGACACAUGCUUGCAUCGAGCCCUUCAUCAUCGCGACCCACAGGCAGCUGAGCAAGCUUCAUCCUCUAAACCCGUUUCUGCAGCCACACUUCAAGCACACCAUGUCAAUCAACUCGCAAGCGCGGCAAAGCCUCAUCAAUGCAGCUGGAAUCAUCGAGCUAACUUUCACUCCAGGAAACUACUGCAUGGAGAUGAGCGCCGUGGUUUACAAAGGCUGGAGAUUCGACGAACAAGGCCUACCAGCAGAUCUCAUCAAAAGGUAACACAAACAAAACAAAAGAAAUGCUGGCACUGACACCACUCAUUAAAACUCGGUUCCAGAGGGAUGGCUGUCCCAGACUCCACAGCAAAGCACGGACUCAAGCUUGCGAUCGAGGACUAUCCAUAUGCCGCAGAUGGUCUUGAAAUCUGGGACGCUCUGGAAAAAUGGACGUCCAGUUACCUCGACGCUUGCUACAAAGACGACGAAGCAGUAGCAAACGAUGCAGAGCUCCAGGCCUGGUGGAACGAAGUAAUCAAGAAAGGCCAUGCAGACAAGAAGGACGAGCCAUGGUGGAUCAAGCUGGACAGCAAGAAAAACCUGGCUCUAGCGCUCACCACUAUAAUCUGGGUAGCGUCGGCCCAUCACGCAGCCGUGAACUUUGGCCAGUAUGCAUACGCUGGCUACAUGCCCAACCAUCCCACCGCCACUCACAAGGCAAUCCCGGCUGAGAACUCGGACGAACACAAGAAGCUGCUGGCAAACCCUGAGAAAUUCUUCCUCGAGUCGGUCUCGAGGAAGCUGGAAGCGAUCCUCGUCAUGCUCACGCUCGAGAUCCUAUCCACUCACGCGUCGGACGAGGAGUACCUGGGGCAGCGUGCCAUCGCGAACUGGACGGAUAAUCCCAAGGCCAAGGCCGCCUUCCAGAAUUUCACCGCCGCGAUGAAGAAUGU
This 1050-nucleotide long non-coding RNA is filed under the name Selaginella moellendorffii. RNAcentral describes it as "long non-coding RNA (SMOE_LNC001810)". The record is from RNAcentral. Lineage: Eukaryota; Viridiplantae; Streptophyta; Lycopodiopsida; Selaginellales; Selaginellaceae.